RNAcentral lists this transfer RNA (76 nucleotides) under Anaerolineae bacterium. Its description in RNAcentral is "tRNA-Met". It matches the Rfam family "tRNA". From Rfam's summary of the family: Transfer RNA (tRNA) molecules are approximately 80 nucleotides in length. Their secondary structure includes four short double-helical elements and three loops (D, anti-codon, and T loops). The record is from RNAcentral. Lineage: Bacteria; Bacillati; Chloroflexota; Anaerolineae.
GGCGGCGUAGCUCAGUUGGUAGAGCACGGAGCUCAUAAUUCCGGUGUCCCCAGUUCGAGCCUGGGCGCCGCCACCU